Molecule: ribosomal RNA, 497 nt
Filed under: uncultured bacterium
Lineage: Bacteria
Description: partial 16S ribosomal RNA
Rfam family: Bacterial small subunit ribosomal RNA
Source: RNAcentral
GAUGAACGCUGGCGGCGUGCCUAAUACAUGCAAGUCGAGCGGACAGACGAGGAGCUUGCUCCUCUGACGUUAGCGGCGGACGGGUGAGUAACACGUGGAUAACCUACCUAUAAGACUGGGAUAACUUCGGGAAACCGGAGCUAAUACCGGAUAAUAUAUUGAACCGCAUGGUUCAAUAGUGAAAGACGGUUUUGCUGUCACUUAUAGAUGGAUCCGCGCCGCAUUAGCUAGUUGGUAAGGUAACGGCUUACCAAGGCGACGAUGCGUAGCCGACCUGAGAGGGUGAUCGGCCACACUGGAACUGAGACACGGUCCAGACUCCUACGGGAGGCAGCAGUAGGGAAUCUUCCGCAAUGGGCGAAAGCCUGACGGAGCAACGCCGCGUGAGUGAUGAAGGUCUUCGGAUCGUAAAACUCUGUUAUUAGGGAAGAACAAAUGUGUAAGUAACUAUGCACGCCUUGACGGUACCUAAUCAGAAAGCCACGGCUAACUACGUG